GAUGAAGAACGUAGCGAAAUGCGAUAAGUAAUGUGAAUUGCAGAAUUCAGUGAAUCAUCGAAUCUUUGAACGCACAUUGCGCCCGCCAGUAUUCUGGCGGGCAUGCCUGUUCGAGCGUCAUUUCAACCAUCAAGCCCCAGGCUUGUGUUGGGGACCUGCGGCUGCCGCAGGCCCUGAAAACCAGUGGCGGGCUCGCUGUCACACCGGGCGUAGUAGAUUUUAUCUCGCUCAGGGCGUGCUGCGGGUUCCGGCCGUUAAAAAGCCUUUUUUACCCAAGGUUGGCCUCGGAUCAGGUAGGAAGACCCGCUGAACUUAAGCAUAUCAAUAAGCGGAGGA
RNAcentral lists this unclassified non-coding RNA (336 nucleotides) under soil metagenome. RNAcentral's name for it is "partial contains 5.8S ribosomal RNA, internal transcribed spacer 2, and large subunit ribosomal RNA". The stretch from base 1 to 120 matches the Rfam family "5.8S ribosomal RNA", at positions 35 to 154 of the family's 154-position model. The record is from RNAcentral.